RNAcentral lists this ribosomal RNA (433 nucleotides) under uncultured bacterium. Its description in RNAcentral is "bacterial SSU rRNA". It matches the Rfam family "Bacterial small subunit ribosomal RNA", at positions 55 to 518 of the family's 1533-position model. The record is from RNAcentral.
AUGCAAGUUGAACGGUAUUGUUGAGUAGCUUGCAUUAACAAGAGAGUAGCGCACUGGUGAGUAACACGUGGGAACAUGCCCUGAAUGGGGGACAACAGAUGGAAACGUCUGCUAAUACCGCAUAAUCCCUGAGGGGGAAAGAUUUAUUGCUUUUGGGAUUGGCCCGCGGAAGAUUAGGUAGUAGGUGGGGUAAAGGCCUACCUAGCCGACGAUCUAUAGCUGGUCUGAGAGGACGAUCAGCCACAUUGGAACUGAGACACGGUCCAGACUCCUACGGGAGGCAGCAGUGAGGAAUAUUGGGCAAUGGAGGGAACUCUGACCCAGCCAAUGCCGCGUGAGUGAGAAGGUCUUCGGAUUGUAAAGCUCUUUCGGACGAGACGAUGAUGACGGUAUCAUCUAAAGAAGCCCCGGCAAACUUCGUGCCAGCCGCAGC